Gasterosteus aculeatus aculeatus (three-spined stickleback) is the source of this 1029-nucleotide long non-coding RNA. The record is from Ensembl. NCBI's taxonomy places the organism in Eukaryota, Metazoa, Chordata, Actinopteri, Perciformes, Gasterosteidae.
GGUUGGGGUUCAUGGUUUCGGGUUGCUGUGCCAGGUGGGUGGGGGAAAUGGGUGCUUGGGUGGGGUUAUGGAUAUAAAGCCUGAUAGCACUGGAAAUGGUGCUUUAGCUGAGAGAGCAAAAGUUUGCACUAAUGUUAAAUGUCCUCGUCCUGCUUAUGGGAGAAGGGCAGGAGACCUCAGAAAGGCCCGCGAGUUUCCAUGAGCACAGAGCAGUGUGGUUAAUACUCAACGGUCUCGAAAAGAGUCCAUCCAACUCCUCCGUAGAUGUAAUCGUGUACAGUAUGUUAAGAAAUAUACGGACGUCCAACAGCAACAAAUACCAAAGGGGAAGAAAUGGCUCGCGUUGAAGUCAUUGGACAUUUUAAGCUACCAAUCUCACAUUAAUCGGCUCUUGAAAAGAGGAAGCUUUUAAACACGGCAAAUUGUAUUUGCGCUUCUUGUAGAGAAAUAUUCCAAAUGUACAACAUUUAGGCACUUACAGAGCAGCAAAGCCUCUCCAGAACCUGGUGAAACAUCCAAUUUUGUGCUGUUUUGAUGGCAGAGGUGCAAAUGUGUGCAGGUGCCAGAGAAACUAGAUCCAGUUCUUUUUAAAUUCCAGAUGAUGGUGAUGAUGGGAUUCUAUCAGCGUCUGUCUCAUAUUAAGUCAGCUAAUGUUGAAUAUUGAAAUGAAAUGAUAAUGCAAACUGUUGGUAUUGUUGAACACUGUUAUUUUAAUCAUUGCCGAGCUGGAUGGAUUCUUGUUUACUUUCUGAAAAAGGUUUAUCUGAAAUGAAAUGUUCUCUAGUUGAAGCCGACCGGGAUUUUGUGGCCUUGUCUGAGCAGCACUAAGCUUGUUUCUUGUUUCUUUUUUAAAUGUUUCCAGACAGCGGUCACUCUGACCCCGACCACACGCUCUCACUGCAAGGUUUUUGUUUGUGUUUUUUUUCCAAAUUGACCUUGAUAUGUUUUCUGUUUUUGUUUUUCUUUCCAAUGCUGUUAUCAAAGAUUUUUGGUGAAUCUAUCUGAGAAGGCCAUAAAACAACAAGGACC